RNAcentral lists this long non-coding RNA (4435 nucleotides) under Glycine max (soybean). RNAcentral's name for it is "long non-coding RNA (GMAX_LNC004418)". Lineage: Eukaryota; Viridiplantae; Streptophyta; Magnoliopsida; Fabales; Fabaceae. The record is from RNAcentral.
GAGUUUUGAUCCGGGCUUGGGGCCCAUGGUCAGUAGGUAGUCAGCCACCACGAGAGGAUUUGAGUCCUACACCUCCUAUAUUUUUAAAAAUCCAAAAUUAUCCUUAAUUUUUAUAUUAUACCAUUUUAGAAUAGACACUCCAUAAUAAUAAAAAAAAUAACUUCUGAAAUAGGUGCUGUGUUUUAUAAUAAUAAAAAAUAACUUUUAGAAUAAACAUUUUAUAACCUUUAAAAAUAACUUUCGAAUUAGGUGUUUUCAUAAUAGUAAAAAAUUGUUUCCAAAAUAAAUAUUCCAUAACAGUAAAAAAAUAAUUUUGUGUUUAAAAAUAAGUAUUUCAUCACAAUAAAAUAUAAUUUUACUUUCCAGAAGAAAUGCUCAUAACAAUAAUAAAAAAAAACAUCAUGAGUCCAAAAAAAACGUGGCGGAAGUGUUGGUCAUGUGGGCCUGGGCCAGUCUUAUGCGGAGGGCCUUGGGCCGCUGAGAAUGUCGUGGAAGUAGAAGUGAAGGUGGCUGAGCUUCUCCUUCUGAAGACUCAAUGAUGUUGGAGAUAUGCUUUGGUACAAAAGAGGUGAUUUUGCUGUGCUGAAUGAGAAGAGGAGCGUGAGAAUGAUGGUGAAAAUGUGUGUGUUUUGGUGUUGGCCAUGGAAAUGGUGGAGGUGGUGAUGCUGAGGUGAGGACAAAAAAUUAGGAAAAAGUAAAACGCUGUGAGCAGCAAAGAGUGAGUUUUUUAUAAGCCAUUUAUAGAGUGGAUUGUAUGGAAGAAUUGGAUUGGAGUGAUGUGAUGACAUGCUAGAAUAAGGUGAAAACUCGUGAACUUGGCAGUUGGCACAAGACGGUGACGGAGAAACCAAAACCUUUUUAUGUGGAAUCUCUUUUCCAUUUCUUGAUCAAACGUGUCAGUGUUAGCUUUGAAUUUUUUACUUUCUCUUUUGAUACAUGAGUAGUGCUAAAUGAUUAAUCACAUGUCAAUUCCAAAUUAGAUUUAAUAAAUUUUGAGGACACGUUGAAGUUAUGUUUCUGAUCAUCCAAAACUUAUUUGGUAUCCAAUAUUUUCAAUGUGGUGUAUGGAAAUAUUAGACAAAAUUAUUAAACAAACUUGAUAUUAUAUAAAUUCUCAUUUUUUAUAUAAAUCUUGUAAUUUUUUGAGCCGAAAAAUCAUUUAUUAAAGUUUCAUACUCAAUUAAUUUUAAUAUUUAAUUUUCAAUAUAUAAGAUAACUAGUUCAUUCAAUUUAUCUUAUAAUAUUAUUGAUUUUAGAAAAAAUUUAAGUAAUUUUAAUUUUAAAAAAAAAAUUUAGCUCGCUAAUGAUAAUUAUCUUUGAACCUUUUGACAAUUUAAUGCAAGUUUUCAAAAGAAUACUAAGAUGAUAUAUGAAAAGAAGAGAAAAAAAAAAGAUAACUAAAAAAAUUUGGAGAGAAAAUAUCAAAAUUUUAAUUAUAUAUAGAUAAUAAAAUAAAAAAUGUUUUCAAAAUUUAAGAAGCAAAAUAUAGUUGCUUGAUCUAGUGAAAAGUAUAAUAUGUUGUUCUUUGUGUUCAAAAUCACAAUCAAUCACGAAUUAUCCAAGAAACUUAAACCAACAUGACAAAAAAACUUAACAAUAAUAACAAAACAAUUUACAUGUAAUUUAUAAAAAAUCAUCAAUAAAAUUUUAGUGACACAAGUAUUAGUGAUAGAAAUUACCAAUAGUGAUAAAAUUUUAUCAAUAAUGCUUUAAUUUCUUGUAGUGUGACUAAUAAAAAAAUUAUGAUCUACAACAUGUAUGGUUACCAACAAAUUAAGCUUGAAGCAUGUAUUAGACAUACUAUCUUUAAGGACUUAUUUGUGUGAUGUACAAGUCCCAUUGAAUUUAACAUGUUCUUCCCAAUAAUAUUUUGGGACAACAAAACUAGCAAAGUUUUUCUGAUGAAAAUAACUCAGGAUUUAUCUUGUAAAAAUAGAGAGAAAAGAUAUACAAGAAUUCACUAAAACCAUCUGAAUAAAGAAUAGAUAGGAUUUUUUUUUUUUGACAAACUGAUAUAAUUUUUAAACUAUCCAAGUCCAAGUAAAAAAUAAGGUGAGAUCUAAUUUAACUGAACAAGAUAUGACCUAACAAAUUUUUGUUUUUAAUAAAUAGUAAAUUAAUUUAAUUAAAUAGAAAUGUUAACCUUUUUAAAUAUCAACAAAAUAUACAGUAUACUAUAGGUUGCAACUCCUUUGAACUUAUAUGGAUCAAACAACUUCUUUAGGAGUUAAAGUUUUAUGAAAUAAGUUCAAAAAGUAGAGUUGUAUUGUGAAAAUAAAGCAUCCUCUUGUGUUGUUUUUAAUCCUGUAGUAUUUUAUGAGAUGAAAAAACAUAUAGAAAUUUAUUGUCAUUAUAUUUAUAAAGAGUUUCUAUCCAAAAAAAAUCAUUAGUGAGUUUGUUAAUUCAAAUUAUCAACUUGCUGACAUCUUCCUAAUUUUUGAAGAGGAGCACAAAUUCAAUUUAUUUGUUGCAAGCUUGGAAUAUUCAACGUCUAUGCUCAAUUGCUCAUGGUUGAGAGAAUGUUGAAAAGGAUUUUAUAUUCCUAGGGAUUUAAUGUCAAGAUAUUUGAAUGGACAAAUCCCCUUUGUGUAUUUAGGCAUCCCUGUGGGAGCCAAUUUCAGAAGAGCGGAAACAUGGAAACCAGUACCUAGUAGACAAAAUCUCAAGGAAACUGGCUUCAUGGAAACAUAAGCUUCUAUCCUAUGGAGGCAGGAUUUGUCUAAUUAAACAUGUUCUAUCAUCUCUUCCGUUGUUUUAUUUUUCCCUUCACAAGGCGCCUAAGGGGGUGAUUAGUGACAUCAAUAAACUUCAAAGGAAACUCUUGUGGGGAGCAAAAGAGGAAGAAAAAGAAAUUAUGUUGGGUAAGUUGGCAUCAAAUAUGUGGUCAAAAGGAGUGUGGAGAUUUGUUAGUGAAAAAGAUUCCUUGUGGGCAAGGGUUCUGAAAGGGAGAGCAGAUCAAGGAGAGGAUAUUAUGCGUAAUCGGUGGACAUCAUCAUGGUGGAAAGAAGUUCGUGAGGUAUGCUCAAAUGAUUACCAUCAGGAUUGGUUCUGGAAGGCAUUGCAAAGAAGGGUUGGCAAUGGGGAAAAUGCACUUUUUUGGAAGGAUGUAGGGUUGAGACAAGAGGAGAUCGGGACCAGAUAUAGCAGAUUGCUUGCGGUCUCAUCACAAGCAAAUUGUCGCAUCAAUGAAGUUGGUAGAUGAGAGGGGGAAACAUGGAGAUGGGACUUGAAAUGGUGAAGAAGCCUUUUUGUCUGGGAAGAGCAGCUAAAAAGUGAUAUACUUAGUGCGCUGGAAACUGUGAGGUUAAUAAAGGAAGAGGAAGAUUCUUGGGGGUGGGAGGAUAAUAAGAUAUUUAUAGUGAAAGGAGCAUAUGAUGUGUUGCAAGAUGGAAGGGAAUUUCAAAUGUCCGACUUCUUCAAACAAUUGUGGAGGCUUAAAGCACCUUCCAAAAUUCUAGUCUUUGGUUGGAGGGUUGCAUUGUCCAAAAUUCCAACUAUGUUCCACCUUAAACACAGAGGGAUUAUGGGUCCGAGAGAUGAUUCAAAAUGCCCCCUCUGUAAAGAGGGGGAGGAAACAAUCUCACAUCCUUUCUUGGUUUGCAGGGUGGCAGCAACUGUAUGGUAUCAGUGUGCGGCGUGGUGUGGAGUUCAAACGGCUAUUAAGAUGGAAGACUCCUAUUGACAAGUUUCAAGUUGGGUGCAGGGAAAUGAUGCGAGAUUGGCGUGGUCUGAUGUAUGGCUAGAAACAAUUUGGACAAUCUGGCUACAGAGGAAUGAUAUAGUUUUUAAUUAUGGCAAUUUAAGCUAUGGAGGAUAUGGUGGAGCUGAUCAAAGUGAGGUCCUCGCAAUGGAGCAAGGCUAAGUCGAAGGGAUUUCAUUUUUCAUUCUAUGUCUGGUCUAAUAACAUUAGAUCAAUGUUACAGCAGAGUUAGACAAUACCUGCAACGAAAUACAUGUCAAGAUUCCCUUUGUGUGCUUCCUAUCGGCAUGCAGGUAUCAAGGCAGAGUUUGGUGAGUAUGUCACGUAUUGGAAUUAAUACAGUGGGGGGCAUUGCUGUGGCAAUGAGUGGUGGAGAGUCAUAUUAAAGGCUGAGGCUGUCACUGGGUCCAUGUUUAUGGCUUACCAGAACCACCAAAAUAUUGCGCACAGACUUUGGCGGUGUCAGCAACUGAUUCUACAAAAUUUUCUUCUUGCUAAUGGAUAAAGGUGUCUUGAUCUGGGUGUUGUGCUCUUGUUGGUGUUGGUGGGGUGCAAUAAGUGUCGGUGGAAUUUUGGUGCAGUUAUUGGCAAUUGAUGAAAGGCAUAAUGGUAUUAAUAUAUCUAGUGGGGAUAGUAUACUGUUAUGAUUAGCUGGGUAAAAAUGUAUGACUUUGGUUUUUUGGUGUGGCAAUUUCUGUUGGGCUUUAUUUAUGCUCUCUGGAGGGUGCUAAUAAG